AUCAGCAUGCUACGGUGAAUACGUUCCCGGGUCUUGUACACACCGCCCGUCACACCACGAGAGUUUGUAACACCCGAAGCCGGUGGAGUAACCUUUUGGAGCUAGCCGUCGAAGGUGGGACAAAUGAGUGGGGUGAAGUCGUAACAAGGUAGCCGGAUCGGAAGGUGCGGCUGGGUCACUUCCUUUCUAAGGA
RNAcentral lists this ribosomal RNA (193 nucleotides) under Staphylococcus capitis. RNAcentral describes it as "partial 16S ribosomal RNA". It matches the Rfam family "Bacterial small subunit ribosomal RNA", at positions 1348 to 1533 of the family's 1533-position model. Lineage: Bacteria; Bacillati; Bacillota; Bacilli; Caryophanales; Staphylococcaceae. The record is from RNAcentral.